UUGAUGGAGAAUUUGAUCCUGGUUCAGAAUGAACGUUGGCGGCGUGGAUGAGGCAUGCAAGUCGAACGCGUGUAGCAAUACACGAGUGGCGAAUGGGCGAGUAUAAAUUGGUUAACCUGCCCUUGAGUGGGGGACAACCUCGGGAAACUGGGGCUAAUACCGCAUAAGACCACAGCGAGGCAUCUCGCAGGGGUCAAAGCCUUCGGGCGCUCAAGGAGGGGAUCAAUCCGUAUCAGGUAGUUGGUGAGGUAAAAGCUUACCAAGCCUACGACGCGUAGCCGGUCUGAGAGGAUGGUCGGCCGCACUGGGACUGAGACACUGCCCAGACUCCUACGGGAGGCUGCAGUCGAGAAUAUUUGUCAAUGGGCGCAAGCCUGAACGAGCGACGCCGCGUGUGGGAUGAAGGCCUUCGGGUUGUAAACCACUGUCAGGGGUUAGCAAUAAGCGCGUAAAACGCGUGAUGAGCAGCCCCAGAGGAAGUGACGGCUAACUACGUGCCAGCAGCUGCGGUAAUACGUAGGUCACGAACGUUAUUCGGAGUCACUGGGCUUAAAGGGCGCGUAGGUGGCUGAGUAAGUUGAGGUUGAAAUCCGGCGGCUCA
RNAcentral lists this ribosomal RNA (601 nucleotides) under Planctomycetota bacterium. Its description in RNAcentral is "bacterial SSU rRNA". It matches the Rfam family "Bacterial small subunit ribosomal RNA", at positions 1 to 611 of the family's 1533-position model. The record is from RNAcentral. Lineage: Bacteria; Pseudomonadati; Planctomycetota.